Long non-coding RNA from Octodon degus (degu), 1070 nucleotides. RefSeq lists it as uncharacterized. The transcript is spliced from 3 exons. Lineage: Eukaryota; Metazoa; Chordata; Mammalia; Rodentia; Octodontidae. The record is from RefSeq and is a predicted model, not a curated record.
ACGGCCGGAGGAGGGGCGCGCUCCUCGCGGGGCCGGGGACCCCAGUCCGGGACAGCGCAUCCCAGCCGGCCUGCGGCCCCGCAGCCGCGGUGAGGCGCCCCUAGGGCUCCCGGAGGCCCCGCAGGGAGGCCUGGGGAGAGUUGCACCGGAGUCCGCCGGGGGCCUGGGGACCUGGGGCUGCAGACUUGCAGACGCCUCUGGAGCAGGUGGAAGAGGCUCCCGCGGCCGGCGACAGGGCGGAGCGGUCCUUCCCGCCCGGUUCUGCGGCCGAACGAAGGAAACUCGGCUGCCCGGCGCCCCCGGCUUGGCUCCCAGGGUCCCAUGCAGUGCGAGGUCGCGCAGUCCGUGUGGCCGGGGUGGCGCAGGCGUCGGGUCCUGAGCGAACUCGCUGCGGGCUUCACUGCUAGGGAGGGGGCGCUGGCUUUUCUCGGGAGUUUGGAUGCUCGGUGCUUGACUCGAGAUUUUCCUCCUGGGGUUCAGGCCUCCCUGAGGUGCUGCUGGGCGGAGCGUUCCCAUUUGAAGGAUGUGUGGUGCGAACGAGUAUUUAUUGCGUAGUGACCUCUUCCGCUAUGCUGACUAUUAGGCUUAACAGUUCCUUCAGCCCAUCUGUUCAACUUUCCCACCAACAUUGCCUGUCAGAAGCCAGCUAUCCCUGGAGGGAGGCAAACCAGACCUUCCUGGAAGAGGGAAAGAGUGGAACUCAUCAACUCCUUAAGGGAAAUAUGACACCUGCCCAGGGACUGGCCAGUGACUGAACUUCCUUUCGAGCAGUUUCCACUUUAAUAUCAAAGGAUCCAUGAUAAUUUCAGUUGAAGGAUGACACAAGACUGAUUGGACAGUAAUAUUCAGUGAAAUUCACUUCAAGAUAAUAGAGCAUUUUAUAAUAUAAAAAUAAUUCUUUUAAUUAAAAAGAGUAUGCGAGAGGUCCAGGGUGUAUCCUUAAAGCAGUAUGAAAGUACGAAGGCGGAGCCACAUCUGGACGCGAUUCAACAAGCCACAGGGAUCCUAAGCCUCAUAGGGAGUUGGAUACACGAUUUUUUAAAGUUUUAAAUAAUGCAGCUGCUCUUGCU